UACAGAGGGGGCAAGCGUUAUUCGGAGUUAUUGGGCGUAAAGGGCGCGUAGGCGGCUUUUCAAGUGACGGGUGAAAUCCCUCGGCUUAACCGAGGAACUGCCUGUCAGACUGGAAGGCUUGAGACCGGGAGAGGUGAGUGGAAUUCCCAGUGUAGCGGUGAAAUGCGUAGAUAUUGGGAGGAACACCAGCGGCGAAGGCGGCUCACUGGACCGGAACUGACGCUGAGGCGCGAAAGCGUGGGGAGCAAACAGG
This 253-nucleotide ribosomal RNA is filed under the name uncultured bacterium. RNAcentral's name for it is "partial 16S ribosomal RNA". It matches the Rfam family "Bacterial small subunit ribosomal RNA", at positions 524 to 776 of the family's 1533-position model. The record is from RNAcentral.